Molecule: small nuclear RNA, 104 nt
Filed under: Prolemur simus (greater bamboo lemur)
Lineage: Eukaryota; Metazoa; Chordata; Mammalia; Primates; Lemuridae
Source: RNAcentral
GUGCUUGCUUUGGCAGCACAUAUACUAAAAUUGGAACGAUACAGAGAUUAGCAUGGCCCCUGUGCAAGGAUGAUACGCAAAUUCAUGAAGUGUUCCAUAUUUUU